CCUACGGGUGGCUGCAGUGGGGAAUAUUGGACAAUGGGCGCAAGCCUGAUCCAGCCAUGCCGCGUGAGUGAUGAAGGCCCUAGGGUUGUAAAGCUCUUUCGCCAGGGACGAUAAUGACGGUACCUGGAUAAGAAGCCCCGGCUAACUUCGUGCCAGCAGCCGCGGUAAUACGAAGGGGGCUAGCGUUGUUCGGAUUUACUGGGCGUAAAGCGCACGUAGGCGGAUUUUUAAGUCAGGGGUGAAAUCCCGAGGCUCAACCUCGGAACUGCCUUUGAUACUGGAAGUCUCGAGUCCGGGAGAGGUGAGUGGAACUGCGAGUGUAGAGGUGAAAGUCGUAGAUAUUCGCAAGAACACCAGUGGCGAAGGCGGCUCACUGGCCCGGUACUGACGCUGAGGUGCGAAAGCGUGGGGAGCAAACAGGAUUAGAUACCCCAGUAGUC
Molecule: ribosomal RNA, 440 nt
Filed under: uncultured bacterium
Lineage: Bacteria
Description: partial 16S ribosomal RNA
Rfam family: Bacterial small subunit ribosomal RNA
Source: RNAcentral